AGGGAACGCUGGCGGUAGGCCUAACACAUGCAAGUCGAACGGCAGCACAGUAAGAGCUUGCUCUUACGGGUGGCGAGUGGCGGACGGGGGAGGAAUACAUCGGAAUCUACUUUUUCGUGGGGGAUAACGUAGGGAAACUUACGCUAAUACCGCAUACGACCUACGGGUGAAAGCAGGGGAUCUUCGGACCUUGCGCGAUUGAAUGAGCCGAUGUCGGAUUAGCUAGUUGGCGGGGUAGAGGCCCACCAAGGCGACGAUCCGUAGCUGGUCUGAGAGGAUGAUCAGCCACACUGGAACUGAGCCACGGUCCAGACUCCUACGGGAGGCAGCAGUGGGGAAUAUUGGACAAUGGGCGCAAGCCUGAUCCAGCCAUACCGCGUGGGUGAAGAAGGCCUUCGGGUUGUAAAGCCCUUUUGUUGGGAAAGAAAAGCAGCAGGUUAAUACCCCGCUGUUCUGACGGUACCCACAGAAUAAGCACCGGCUAACUUCGUG
Molecule: ribosomal RNA, 492 nt
Filed under: uncultured bacterium
Lineage: Bacteria
Description: partial 16S ribosomal RNA
Rfam family: Bacterial small subunit ribosomal RNA
Source: RNAcentral